AAUCAACGCUGGCGGCGUGCCUAACACAUGCAAGUUGAGCGCUUGAGGGGGGCAACCCCCAAGAGAGCAGCGAACGGGUGAGUAACGCGUGGGUGAUCUUCCUUCGAGUGGGGAACAACAUCGGGAAACUGGUGCUAAUUCCGCAUAAUAUCCUCGGGCCACGAGCCUGGGGAUCAAAGCCGGGGACCGCAAGGCCUGGCGCUUGAAGAUGAGCCCGCGUCCGAUUAGCUAGUUGGCGGGGUAAUGGCCCACCAAGGCUCCGAUCGGUAGCCGGCCUGAGAGGGCGGACGGCCACACUGGAACUGAGACACGGUCCAGACUCCUACGGGAGGCAGCAGUGGGGAAUUUUUCGCAAUGGGCGCAAGCCUGACGAAGCAACGCCGCGUGGAGGAUGAAGGUCUUCGGAUUGUAAACUCCUGUCGACCGGGACGAAUGCACUCGACCUAAUACGUCGGAAUGUUGACGGUACCGGUGGAGGAAGCCACGGCUAACGUCUGUGCCAGCAGCCGCGGUAAUC
RNAcentral lists this ribosomal RNA (517 nucleotides) under uncultured bacterium. Its description in RNAcentral is "bacterial SSU rRNA". It matches the Rfam family "Bacterial small subunit ribosomal RNA", at positions 32 to 525 of the family's 1533-position model. The record is from RNAcentral.